GUAGGUGAACCUGCGGAAGGAUCAUUAUUGAAUAAACUUGGUUGGGUUGUUGCUGGCUCUUCGGAGCAUGUGCACGCUCACUCCAUUUUUAACCACCUGUGCACCUUGUGUAGAUCUGAACAACUCUCGGGGAAACUCGGUCAGAGGAUUGCUGUGUGUAAAAGCCAGCUUUUCUUGGGUUCAGAUCUAUGUCUCUAUAUACACCAUAAGAAUGUAUUGGAAUGUAAUUUUAGGCGUUACAGCCUUUAAAAUCAAAUACAACUUUCAACAACGGAUCUCUUGGCUCUC
This 288-nucleotide unclassified non-coding RNA is filed under the name rhizosphere metagenome. RNAcentral's name for it is "partial ribosomal RNA internal transcribed spacer region". The record is from RNAcentral.